RNAcentral lists this unclassified non-coding RNA (222 nucleotides) under Hevea brasiliensis (rubber tree). Lineage: Eukaryota; Viridiplantae; Streptophyta; Magnoliopsida; Malpighiales; Euphorbiaceae. The record is from RNAcentral.
CAACUUUAAGAACUCUGGAGUACGAUUGGGUAAGGGAAAAAGAAAAUUCUCCAAAAUUUCUUCAUAAAUUACUCAAACCCAGUUUCAGUCAACCAAGGAUAUACUCCAAAUCAUAUUAUAAAACCCGAUUUUAUCAUCCAGAAGAAAUCGCUACAAAUGGAAGCGAAGUUUCUCAUAUACGGAACCCAGAAAGCAUCAAAAGCUCAAUACAGUCACUUUCAG